GACGAACGCUGGCGGCGUGCCUAACACAUGCAAGUCGAGCGGGGUCCAUCCGGUAGCAAUACCGGGGAAGACCUAGCGGCGAACGGGUGAGUAACACGUGAGAAACCUGCCCCGAAGUCUGGGAUAACCCGAGGAAACUCGAGCUAAUACCGGAUGUCUUCUUCUGAUCGCAUGGUCGGAUGAAGAAAAGAUUUAUCGCUUCGGGAGGGUCUCGCGGCCUAUCAGCUAGUUGGCGGGUAACGGCCCACCAAGGCGUCGACGGGUAGCUGGUCUGAGAGGACGAUCAGCCACACUGGGACUGAGACACGGCCCAGACUCCUACGGGAGGCAGCAGUGGGGAAUAUUGCGCAAUGGGCGAAAGCCUGACGCAGCAACGCCGCGUGCGGGAUGAAGGCCUCGGUUGUAACGAC
This 410-nucleotide ribosomal RNA is filed under the name uncultured bacterium. RNAcentral's name for it is "bacterial SSU rRNA". It matches the Rfam family "Bacterial small subunit ribosomal RNA", at positions 28 to 430 of the family's 1533-position model. The record is from RNAcentral.